GAUCGGGAGUGACAACCCUGGAAACAGAUGCUAAUACCGGAUAACAACAGAUGAUGCCUAUCAACUGUUUAAAAGAUGGUUCUGCUAUCACUCUUGGAUGGACCUGCGGUGCAUUAGCUAGUUGGUAGGGUAACGGCCUACCAAGGCGAUGAUGCAUAGCCGAGUUGAGAGACUGAUCGGCCACAUUGGGACUGAGACACGGCCCAAACUCCUACGGGAGGCAGCAGUC
This 229-nucleotide ribosomal RNA is filed under the name uncultured Lactobacillus sp. RNAcentral's name for it is "partial 16S ribosomal RNA". It matches the Rfam family "Bacterial small subunit ribosomal RNA", at positions 136 to 355 of the family's 1533-position model. Lineage: Bacteria; Bacillati; Bacillota; Bacilli; Lactobacillales; Lactobacillaceae. The record is from RNAcentral.